This 1333-nucleotide ribosomal RNA is filed under the name uncultured bacterium. RNAcentral's name for it is "bacterial SSU rRNA". It matches the Rfam family "Bacterial small subunit ribosomal RNA", at positions 28 to 1381 of the family's 1533-position model. The record is from RNAcentral.
GACGAACGCUGGCGGCGCGCCUAACACAUGCAAGUCGAACGAGAGAGAGGGAGCUUGCUUCCUCGAUCGAGUGGCGAACGGGUGAGUAACGCGUGAGGAACCUGCCUCAAAGAGGGGGACAACAGUUGGAAACGACUGCUAAUACCGCAUAAGCCCACGGCUCGGCAUCGAGCAGAGGGAAAAGGAGCAAUCCGCUUUGAGAUGGCCUCGCGUCCGAUUAGCUAGUUGGUGAGGUAAUGGCCCACCAAGGCGACGAUCGGUAGCCGGACUGAGAGGUUGAACGGCCACAUUGGGACUGAGACACGGCCCAGACUCCUACGGGAGGCAGCAGUGGGGAAUAUUGCACAAUGGGGGAAACCCUGAUGCAGCGACGCCGCGUGGAGGAAGAAGGUCUUCGGAUUGUAAACUCCUGUUGUUGAGGAAGAUAAUGACGGUACUCAACAAGGAAGUGACGGCUAACUACGUGCCAGCAGCCGCGGUAAAACGUAGGUCACAAGCGUUGUCCGGAAUUACUGGGUGUAAAGGGAGCGCAGGCGGGCGAUCAAGUUGGAAGUGAAAUCCAUGGGCUCAACUCAUGAACUGCUUUCAAAACUGAUUGUCUUGAGUAGUGCAGAGGUAGGCGGAAUUCCCCGGUGUAGCGGUGGAAUGCGUAGAUAUCGGGAGGAACACCAGUGGCGAAGGCGGCCUACUGGGCACCAACUGACGCUGAGGCUCGAAAGUGUGGGUAGCAAACAGGAUUAGAUACCCUGGUAGUCCACACCGUAAACGAUGAUUACUAGGUGUUGGAGGAUUGACCCCUUCAGUGCCGCAGUUAACACAAUAAGUAAUCCACCUGGGGAGUACGACCGCAAGGUUGAAACUCAAAGGAAUUGACGGGGGCCCGCACAAGCAGUGGAGUAUGUGGUUUAAUUCGACGCAACGCGAAGAACCUUACCAAGUCUUGACAUCCUGCGGCGAUGCUAGAAAUAGUAUUUUCCUUCGGGACGCAGAGACAGGUGGUGCAUGGUUGUCGUCAGCUCGUGUCGUGAGAUGUUGGGUUAAGUCCCGCAACGAGCGCAACCCUUAUGGUCAGUUACUACGCAAGAGGACUCUGGCCAGACUGCCGUUGACAAAACGGAGGAAGGUGGGGAUGACGUCAAAUCAUCAUGCCCUUUAUGACUUGGGCUACACACGUACUACAAUGGCGUUAAACAAAGAGAAGCAAGACCGCGAGGUGGAGCAAAACUCAGAAACAACGUCCCAGUUCGGACUGCAGGCUGCAACUCGCCUGCACGAAGUCGGAAUUGCUAGUAAUCGCAGAUCAGCAUGCUGCGGUGAAUACGUUCCCGGGCCU